RNAcentral lists this ribosomal RNA (498 nucleotides) under uncultured bacterium. Its description in RNAcentral is "partial 16S ribosomal RNA". It matches the Rfam family "Bacterial small subunit ribosomal RNA", at positions 29 to 523 of the family's 1533-position model. The record is from RNAcentral.
AGUGAACGCUGGCGGUAGGCCUAACACAUGCAAGUCGAACGGUAACAGGUCUUCGGAUGCUGACGAGUGGCGAACGGGUGAGUAAUACAUCGGAACGUGCCUAGUAGUGGGGGAUAACUACUCGAAAGAGUGGCUAAUACCGCAUGAGAUCUACGGAUGAAAGCAGGGGAUCGCAAGACCUUGUGCUACUAGAGCGGCCGAUGGCAGAUUAGGUAGUUGGUGGGAUAAAAGCUUACCAAGCCGACGAUCUGUAGCUGGUCUGAGAGGACGAUCAGCCACACUGGGACUGAGACACGGCCCAGAAUCCUACGGGAGGCAGCAGUGGGGAAUUUUGGAAAAUGGGCGAAAGCCUGAUCCAGCAAUGCCGCGUGAAGGAUGAAGGCCUUCGGGUUGUAAACUGCUUUUGUACGGAACGAAAAGCCCUGGGUUAAUACCCUGGGGUCAUGGCGGUACCGUAAGAAUAAGCACCGGCUAACUGCGUGCCAGCCGCCGCCGUAA